GGUCUGUGGUGAAUAGUAAAAGGUCUGAUUGUCCCAAGACUUGCUCUUCUGUGGCCUCUUCUCCCAGCAGUUCCUCCCCAGCCGUGGCACAGCAGUGGUGUGGCUGGAGGGCUGCUUGCUGACAGCGUGUGAUGUGUUCAGUUCAUGUUAACCUGAAGCGCUGGGGACAUGACUGCCAUCACAUCCAACCUGCUGAAAGGAGUUGGGGUUUCAGCUAGUUAUAUCUGGAUGUAUGAUCUGGCUUUUCUGCUGAAACC
This is a small nucleolar RNA of Callipepla squamata (scaled quail), 257 nucleotides long. It matches the Rfam family "Small Cajal body specific RNA 6". Rfam says of the family: U88 is small Cajal body specific RNA (scaRNA). scaRNAs are a novel class of small nuclear RNAs which localise to the Cajal bodies. U88 is found associated with both fibrillarin and Gar1p and co-localises with coilin in Cajal bodies. NCBI's taxonomy places the organism in Eukaryota, Metazoa, Chordata, Aves, Galliformes, Odontophoridae. The record is from Rfam.